Molecule: ribosomal RNA, 491 nt
Filed under: uncultured bacterium
Lineage: Bacteria
Description: partial 16S ribosomal RNA
Rfam family: Bacterial small subunit ribosomal RNA
Source: RNAcentral
AGUGAACGCUGGCGGUAGGCCUAACACAUGCAAGUCGAACGGCAGCACAGUAGGAGCUUGCUCUUACGGGUGGCGAGUGGCGGACGGGUGAGGAAUACAUCGGAAUCUACUUUUUCGUGGGGGAUAACGUAGGGAAACUUACGCUAAUACCGCAUACGACCUACGGGUGAAAGCAGGGGAUCUUCGGACCUUGCGCGAUUGAAUGAGCCGAUGUCGGAUUAGCUAGUUGGCGGGGUAAAGGCCCACCAAGGCGACGAUCCGUAGCUGGUCUGAGAGGAUGAUCAGCCACACUGGAACUGAGACACGGUCCAGACUCCUACGGGAGGCAGCAGUGGGGAAUAUUGGACAAUGGGCGCAAGCCUGAUCCAGCCAUACCGCGUGGGUGAAGAAGGCCUUCGGGUUGUAAAGCCCUUUUGUUGGGAAAGAAAAGCAGCAGGUUAAUACCCCGCUGUUCUGACGGUACCCAAAGAAUAAGCACCGGCCAACUUCGU